CGGCAAGUAAUCUUUGGCUGC
RNAcentral lists this microRNA (21 nucleotides) under Glycine max (soybean). Its description in RNAcentral is "gma-miR169s-3p". Its record names the gene gma-miR169s-3p. Lineage: Eukaryota; Viridiplantae; Streptophyta; Magnoliopsida; Fabales; Fabaceae. The record is from miRBase by way of RNAcentral.